This 472-nucleotide ribosomal RNA is filed under the name uncultured bacterium. RNAcentral describes it as "partial 16S ribosomal RNA". It matches the Rfam family "Bacterial small subunit ribosomal RNA", at positions 28 to 507 of the family's 1533-position model. The record is from RNAcentral.
GACGAACGCUGGCGGCGUGCUUAACACAUGCAAGUCGAACGCUGAAGCUUGGUGCUUGCACUGGGUGGAUGAGUGGCGAACGGGUGGGUAAUACGUGAGUAACCUGCCCUUGACUCUGGGAUAAGCCUGGGAAACUGGGUCUAAUACUGGAUACGACAUGUCACCGCAUGGUGGUGUGUGGAAAGGGUUUUACUGGUUUUGGAUGGGCUCACGGCCUAUCAGCUUGUUGGUGGGGUAAUGGCUCACCAAGGCGACGACGGGUAGCCGGCCUGAGAGGGUGACCGGCCACGCUGGGACUGAGACACGGCCCAGACUCCUACGGGAGGCAGCAGUGGGGAAUAUUGCACAAUGGGCGGAAGCCUGAUGCAGCGACGCCGCGUGAGGGAUGACGGCCUUCGGGUUGUAAACCUCUUUCAGCACGGAAGAAGCGAAAGUGACGGUACGUGCAGAAGAAGCGCCGGCUAACUACGUG